Molecule: long non-coding RNA, 4898 nt
Organism: Patella vulgata (common limpet)
Lineage: Eukaryota; Metazoa; Mollusca; Gastropoda; Patellidae
Exons: 2
Source: RefSeq, a predicted model, not a curated record
GUAUCUUGUUUUUUUAUUUUUAUAUUGUCUGUUUCUUUUCAGCUGUACAGGUAUUUUUCUUUAUAUUUAAAUUCAUCUUGGUGGGUGAUAUAUUUCAUAAAAACAGAUUAUAAUAUGAUUUGAGCAUGAUGAACAUGUCAAGUUUUACAAUAACAUUCUAUUUCAGUUUAUUCAUUCAACAAUGUUUAUGUUGAGUAACCUUGAAUAUAAUUAUUUUUUGACAAGUUAAUAAACAAAAUAAUAUCACUUUCUUCCAAUUCUUAUCUGUAUUUGUUUGAUGAGUGUUGACAUAGAAAGAAAUAUUAAAUUCAAAUGUAAUGAUAUAAUUGUUAGCUUAAAUACAUGUAGUAUACAUACUGUGUUAGUAAUUGAUUUUAUUAGAAUUCUUUAUCUUGUAAUGUGAAUGAUUUAUUAAAUUCAAUGUACAUUUAUAACCAACCACAGAUCUUACAAUUUAUAAUCUGGAUGAACAAUAUUAAAAGCUAUUGUUUAUAUUACUGCAUAUGGGGUUUAGCGUCUUACUUCUCUAUACCAAUUUGGCUAACAAAGACAGACAUAUGCUUUUUGGUGUACACGGGCAGUGUUGUUUCCUCCUACUUUUCAUUCUGGUCCAACUGUCAAUGGUUCUGUAACGUGCAUGCCAGCAAUACCAGGCCUCUUAUUUUAUCCCAACCAAAUGACAAGACAUUGUUCCUUGCCAAGCUCUCCAUCACAUACAACUGACUAGAGGAAACCAUGCUGUGGUAUUUUCGCUGCCAACACCGGGAUCAAACCCGAGACCUCCUGCUUUGUGAGCCAGUGCCUUACACUAAAAGCUAACAUAAUUUUUUAACGACAUACAUACUCCAGUUGGAUAAUAUAUGAACUGGAUUAGUCUUGUUCAUGUGAAAUAAUUGAUGUGAACAGGCAAGUAGGAUUAAUGGCUGAAUGGUUAGCACAUGCGCGCUGUAUCAUUAGGUCUGUCAUUGAAUCAACUGGAGUGGUUUCAAUUCCCCGGUUGUACAUGACAAGGGUCGCGUGUCCUCCAGUUUCCUACCACUGCUAAAGACCCCUACACAGAAGCGUAUUAUUGAAAUAAAAUUGAACCGUGUGUUAGUCCCGAAAUGACCUAGUUUGUGUCAAGUGGAGUUAAACCCCAUUCCUCUCUCUCUCCAGGUCCUCUGGUUUCCUCCCACUGCUAAAGACCCCUAAGCACAAGCAAAUUAUUGAAAUAAAAUUGCACUAUAUGUUAGUCGCAAAAUGACCAAGUUUGUGUUUAGUGAAUGUUAAACCCCAUUUCUCUCUAUAUAUAUAAUUAAAUUGAGCUAUUAUUUAUAAAUUUACAAAAUUUGAAAUAAUUAAUUUCUAGUCCAGGAAUUUUUUUUCAUCGAAAAACCUGUAUUUGAAGUUUAAUUAGGUAUGUUCAAAAGAUAAUGCCGACUUUAUAUAAUAUACUUCAUCUAUAUAUGCUAUAACUAUAACAGUAAAACAUGUACCUGUAGAUAGAUUAUGUAAAUCUAGAUCUGUUUUGUUUCAUUCAUCUUGUUCAUACAUGUACUUAAAUGAUUAUAUUUUGAUAGUAAAAGAUUAAAUGCACAUGUAUCAUGAUUUUGGUUGGAAAUGAAUGUUGAUCUAUUUUCAUGAUUGAAACUGUGUGUAUGAACUUACUUCAAACCCAAAUGGAAAUUUUUAUGUUUUUUUGAAAAUGUAUCAACAGCAUAGUUUCAAAUGGUUAAACAUGACAGGGAUAAGGUCUUGUAUGAAUCUUACAUCCAAAUAAAGCAGUUUUAUUUACUAAAAUAUAUCUGGGUGGACUGCUCAUUUAAUACACAUGCAAAAGUAAGAACUUGGGACCUUUAGUACGUUGGUUUUUAUACGCCCACAUUUUCAUGUGGACGUAUAUUGUCGUCGCCCCUGUUUGUCUGUUCGGACGUCCGUCCACAAUUUGUUUGUUGACACUCGACAGGUCACAAUUUUUAUCCGAUCUCAACGAAACUUAAAAUAUAGCUUUAUCUCCCUAAGAUCUUGGUUCCUUUCGAUAUUGGCAUGUAUCGGACCAUAACUUCAUGGAUUAUGGCCCCUGAUUGUACGAAAAAUCGUGUUUUUAGCUUGUGGACACUCUAGAGGUCACAAUUUUGAUCCGAUUUUGAUGAAACUUGAAAUGCAUGUUUAUAACCCAAAGAUCUUGGUUCCUUUCGAUAUUCGGGCAUAUCGGAUCGUAACUUACUGAAUUAUGGCCCCUGAUUGUACGAAAAAUCGCGUUUUUGGCUUGUUGACCCUAUAGAGGUAAUAAUUUUUAUCCGAUUUAAAAAAACGUAUUAUGAUAUCACCGUUACACGCUAAGGACGACUGAGUUCGAAUUUCUUGAAAAUCGACCCAAAAUUGACAGACAAAAUGGCCGCCGUUCGUUCUAAAAUAGCAUAAAAAUACAGUAUAUCAAAGUUGUGGACCCUAUAGAGGUCACAAUUUUUAUCCAAUUUUGUUGAAACUUGAAAUGUAAAUUUAUAACCCAAUUUUGUUGAAACUUGAAAUGUAAAUUUAUAACCCAAAGAUUUUGGUUCCUUUGGAUAUUCGCGCAUAUCGGAUGGUAACUUCCUGAAUUAUUGCCCCUAAUUGUUGUGGACCCUAUAGAGGUCACAAUUUUUAUCCGAUUUUGUUGAAACUUGAAAUGUAAGUUUAUAACCCAAAGAUCUUGGUUCCUUUCGAUAUUCGCGCAUAUCAGACCUUAACUUCCUGAAUUAUGGCCCCUGAUUGUACGAAAAAUCGCGUUUUUAGCUUGUAGACCCUAAAGAGGUCAUAAUUUUUAUCCGAUUUAAAAAAGCGUAUCAUAUCACCGUUGCACCCUAAGGACGGCUGAGUUUGAAUUUCUUGAAAAUCGGCCCAAAACUGACAGACAAAAUGGCCGCCCUUCGUUCUCAAAUAGCGUAAAAAUAUGGUAUAUCAAGGUUGUGGAUCCUAUGGAGGUCACAAUUUUUAUCCGAUUUUGUUGAAACUUGAAAUGUAAGUUUAUAACACAAAGAUCUCUGUUCCUUUCGAUAUUUGCGCAUAUCGAAUUGUAAUUUCCUGAAUUAUGGCCCUUGAUUGUAGGAAAAAUCACUUUCUUUUUAGCUUGUUCUCUAUCCACCUCUCGAAAAUGUGGGCGUAUCCUGCCUGGCAGCCGCUGGUUAAUAAAAUUAGUGAGAAAAAAUGAAUAAAAUAGGGUUUAAUGUCCUACUUUCUACUUCCUGCACUAAAAUGGCUAAUGAAAACAUGCUAAUGCCAUCCAGUGGGAGGGAAAUUAUGUCCAGACAACAGCUUUUCUGUCUACUUUCGUCAAAUUCUAACUUUCAAAGGUUCUGUUAUGUUCACAGUUUUCCAUCUUUUCCAUUGUCAAGACCCCCCGCUCUACUGACAAGGCGAAACCACCCUGGAAAAUCUUGAGCUUUCUCGGCCAACCCUGGGACUAACUAAUUAGUGAGCCAGCGCUUUGCUCACUGAACCACUGUUAGAAAAAAUAUUAGCUUGAUCGUGUUAGCACAGAUGUCAAUAGGCAUAUUUACCAUAUUGUUUAUGAUAUUGAAAAAAAGCAACAAGGUUUUCCUUAACACAAAUCUACUAGAUGUGUAGUAAUUAAAAUGUGUAAAAACACUAGAAUGGAAGUAAAGUACUUGUGUUAAAUAAGGUCCAGCAGGAAACUGGAUUUGGGGAGUUAAACAUAUUUUUAUUAAUAAUGAUAUUGAUAUUGAACGAUAAUUGUAUUGUAUCCUGUUUAAAAUUUGACCAUUUAUAUAAUGUUACCGGCUAUGGCUGAAUGAGACACAUAUAGGUGAAGACAUGAAAUUAUAUUGUUUUCAAAGAAAUUUAAAUUCUGUUUUCAAAGAAAUUCAAUUUUGUUUGCAACAAAGGAAAUUAUUUUUCAUAAUUGCUAAGAUCUCUAGCUUUGAAGUUGGUAUACAAAAAAAAUUGAUUGGAAAUUAUUGAAACAAAUCAGACACGACUCCAUAGUCUAAUACCAGAAAAUAAUGUCAUGCAUUUCUCACCUUGAAUCAGUGGGGAAAUAAAAAUAGUUAUUUAGUGAAAAUUGGAAAAAAUGUUUUGUAUUUUGGACCUUUCAUGCCUUAUCAGAAAUAAUAGGCCUGUGACAUGUCUUAUUUAUCUAGAGCUGGUCACACAUUAUUUUGUAAGGUUAAUUUCGAUAAUUUAUGUAUAUGUACAUUUUUGUGUGCCCUAUUUAUCAAGUAAUAGAUUAUAUAUAUGUCAAUUUAGAUAUAAUAUUGACCACUUGUGUAUUAAAAAUGAAAUCUUGUUGACUAAAUCUGAUUUUUUUCGUAGCUCAAACUUUAAGUUUAUGCGUCAUUCAACCGUAUAUGUUUACUAUAUAAUUAACACUUGGAAAUCGUAAUUGUUAUGCAAAGUAGAUGUAUAUUGCUACAUGUAGUUGGAAAUCAUUCUCUCAAAACCGCUACAUCUCACCAGUUGCUUUACUUUAUUUUCAAGGCCUUUACUACUGAAAAUUGUCAUUCAUAGUUAUUUUUACCGGCAACUUUCAUACAUGGUUGUUUGUAUAUUUAAUUGUCUGUAUCACACUAAUGGAUUGAUCUCUAUUUUAUUUUAAUAAUAAUUAAUUUGUAUUCUGAAGAUACAUAAUUAUUGAUACUGUUGUAUUAGUGCAAACUUUGUACAUCGCCCGUUUUCACAAGUGCGCUAUGGAUUACGUCUGUAUGUACCAAUUCAUUGUGAUAUACUUUUUUUUUUUGUCAUUGAUCUCAUAACAUAGUAUUUUUUUUGUUGCUAAGUAAUGUUAUACAAAGAUUGUUAUAUUUUUAUACAUUGUUACUGGGUUUUUUUUAUACAUUGUUAUUGCUUUUUGAUACAUAUUUUUUUGUUAUUUUGAUUUGUGUUUAUAUCUUUUUGAAAUAAACACUCGUUCUGAUUGGAAA